This 832-nucleotide ribosomal RNA is filed under the name Massilia sp. N52. Its description in RNAcentral is "bacterial SSU rRNA". It matches the Rfam family "Bacterial small subunit ribosomal RNA", at positions 83 to 912 of the family's 1533-position model. The record is from RNAcentral. Lineage: Bacteria; Pseudomonadati; Pseudomonadota; Betaproteobacteria; Burkholderiales; Oxalobacteraceae.
GCCUGGUGGCGAGUGGCGAACGGGUGAGUAAUAUAUCGGAACGUACCCAAGAGUGGGGGAUAACGUAGCGAAAGUUACGCUAAUACCGCAUACGAUCCAAGGAUGAAAGCAGGGGACCGCAAGGCCUUGUGCUCCUGGAGCGGCCGAUAUCUGAUUAGCUAGUUGGUGAGGUAAAGGCUCACCAAGGCGACGAUCAGUAGCUGGUCUGAGAGGACGACCAGCCACACUGGAACUGAGACACGGUCCAGACUCCUACGGGAGGCAGCAGUGGGGAAUUUUGGACAAUGGGCGCAAGCCUGAUCCAGCAAUGCCGCGUGAGUGAAGAAGGCCUUCGGGUUGUAAAGCUCUUUUGUCAGGGAAGAAACGGCAGUGGCUAAUAUCCAUUGCUAAUGACGGUACCUGAAGAAUAAGCACCGGCUAACUACGUGCCAGCAGCCGCGGUAAUACGUAGGGUGCAAGCGUUAAUCGGAAUUACUGGGCGUAAAGCGUGCGCAGGCGGUUUUGUAAGUCUGUCGUGAAAGCCCCGGGCUCAACCUGGGAAUUGCGAUGGAGACUGCAAGGCUUGAAUCUGGCAGAGGGGGGUAGAAUUCCACGUGUAGCAGUGAAAUGCGUAGAGAUGUGGAGGAACACCGAUGGCGAAGGCAGCCCCCUGGGUCAAGAUUGACGCUCAUGCACGAAAGCGUGGGGAGCAAACAGGAUUAGAUACCCUGGUAGUCCACGCCCUAAACGAUGUCUACUAGUUGUCGGGUUUUAAUUAACUUGGUAACGCAGCUAACGCGUGAAGUAGACCGCCUGGGGAGUACGGUCGCAAGAUUAAAACUCAAAGGAAUUG